RNAcentral lists this transfer RNA (72 nucleotides) under Phrynosoma platyrhinos (Desert horned lizard). Its description in RNAcentral is "tRNA-OTHER". The record is from RNAcentral. Lineage: Eukaryota; Metazoa; Chordata; Lepidosauria; Squamata; Phrynosomatidae.
CUCAGUGUAGCAUAGUGAUUUGAGUGUUGGACUAUGACUCUGGAGACCAGAGUUCAAAUCCCUUCUUAGACA